RNAcentral lists this ribosomal RNA (777 nucleotides) under uncultured Neocallimastigales. RNAcentral describes it as "partial large subunit ribosomal RNA". It matches the Rfam family "Eukaryotic large subunit ribosomal RNA", at positions 24 to 644 of the family's 3401-position model. The record is from RNAcentral. Lineage: Eukaryota; Fungi; Neocallimastigomycota; Neocallimastigomycetes; Neocallimastigales.
UACGACUACAUAUCAGGCAUAUCAAUAAGCGGAGGAAAAGAAACUAACAAGGAUUCCCUUAGUAACGGCGAGUGAAGCGGGAAGAGCUCAAAUUUGAAAUCUUCAAGGUUUUACCUUGACGAAUUGUAGUUUAUAGAAGUGUUUUCUGUUAGUGGAGUUUGGUAAAAGUUCUUUGGAAUAGGACAUCAUAGAGGGUGAGAAUCCCGUAUUUGAUCCAUUACUUCCUAGCGUUGUGAUACACUUUCAACGAGUCGGAUUGUUUGGGAAUGCAGUCCAAAAUGGGUGGUAAAUUUCAUCUAAAGCUAAAUAUUGGCGAGAGACCGAUAGCGAACAAGUACCGUGAGGGAAAGAUGAAAAGAACUUUGAAAAGAGAGUUAAACAGUACGUGAAAUUGUCAAAAGGGAAGCGUUUGACACCAGUGUUGUUUUUCCGAAAAUCAAUUACGAAUGUUUUAUUUUUGAGGAGUUAUGACUUCAUCGGCUUGCUCCUUUCUUACGAAACUUUCUUAAUGCACUUUUCGGUUAACAAGUCAACAUCAAUUUCUUUUGUUGUAAAAGGGUACGAGGAAGGUGGCUUUCUUUUCGGAGAAAGUGUUUAUAGCCUUGUGCCUCUGCAAUCGGAGAGAUUGAGGUCUGCAGCGUAGAUCCUUCGGGGUUAGAUACACUUGUGCUAAGUUAUAGCUUUUCAUAGACAACUUGUUGACUAUGUUUAGUCUUGUAGCUUACUCGCUUAUGCUAUUUUACCUACGCUUAGGAUGUUGAAUCUGUGCGAGACUAC